AUUGGCAUUCGUUAUAAGAAAAAGAGAAAAGGAGAGGCAAGGGAGGAGGACCGCCGGCAACGGCAGAACGCCGCUACUGGAGGAAAGGCUGGAAAAGACGAUUAGGGUUUUUUUUUUUUUGAGAGAGUUUCGUAUCUAGAUCAGUUGAAGAUAAGUUGGAAUCCACUGUAUUCGUCUGUGUCUGCAAUUAGAGGCGUAACUUUUGGUUCCAGCACAAUCGUCGCAAUUCGCCGCCAUUAGAGAGACUGAGGUGCAGUCGGUGUGACGAUUCCAUUUGUUGGUUUUGAUCAGGUUCUUUCACCUUCUUUCGAUCAAUCGGAAUGAGGUUAGCUUAGCUCCUCUUCAAACCAUCGUUGUCGAUUUUCAUGGCCAAAUAAGAGGAGAUCGAGAAGAACAAGUGGGAGGUUUGGAGAAGGAUUUAAGCUCAGCUUUGUUGUGUCGAAGAAGAGACCGGGCGAUUGGAUCUUCACACUAUGUUUCUUUGUUGAGGGAAGAAGUCGAAAAAGAUUUAACAGCUCCCGUUGGGAAAAAAACACCUCCUGGAAGACAAAAGAAGAGACCAAAAACUGUUCAGAAGCAAAUAAUCAGAGGACAUAACACAGGCUCUUAUGACCCCCCUGACGCUGAGGAAACAUGAUCAAAGUCGUAAAAAAGGAAGGACAAUUAGCAUCUUGUCCAUUUUUUGUGAAUGGAAAAUGUAAUCUCCAUGGCAAUGUCGUCCCCAUGUACUUUGAAUCUUCUCUUUGUUUUUAAUAAAGAGGCGAGUGGUGUUUAUAUUAG
Raphanus sativus (radish) is the source of this 780-nucleotide long non-coding RNA. RefSeq lists it as uncharacterized. The record is from RefSeq and is a predicted model, not a curated record. NCBI's taxonomy places the organism in Eukaryota, Viridiplantae, Streptophyta, Magnoliopsida, Brassicales, Brassicaceae. The transcript is spliced from 6 exons.